This is a non-coding RNA of Microcebus murinus (gray mouse lemur), 262 nucleotides long. Lineage: Eukaryota; Metazoa; Chordata; Mammalia; Primates; Cheirogaleidae. The record is from RefSeq and is a predicted model, not a curated record.
CAGGGCGCGGACCAGCUGGGUGUGCUGCAUCCCGUACACGACCAGGAGGAAGGUGAAGGACGGCGCGUAGCCGCGCAGCAGGACGCCAGGCGGAGCGCGGCGCGGACCAUGCCUGCCUCCACGCGGAAGACCCUCCCCGCCCUGACACAGGCCCGAGGCGGACGACCAGCCGGCGUGAGCCCCGCACACGACCGCUGCCCGCUGGGGCGCGGCGACCCCGGCAUCUCUUCGGAAGACACAAUAAAUGCGUUAGGGGACAGGC